RNAcentral lists this ribosomal RNA (253 nucleotides) under uncultured bacterium. RNAcentral's name for it is "partial 16S ribosomal RNA". It matches the Rfam family "Bacterial small subunit ribosomal RNA", at positions 524 to 776 of the family's 1533-position model. The record is from RNAcentral.
UACGUAGGGGGCAAGCGUUGUCCGGAAUCAUUGGGCGUAAAGAGCGUGUAGGCGGUUUGGUAGGUCCGUUGUGAAAACUCGAGGCUCAACCUCGAGACGCCGAUGGAAACCAUCAGACUAGAGUCCGGAAGAGGAGAGUGGAAUUCCUGGUGUAGCGGUGAAAUGCGCAGAUAUCAGGAAGAACACCCGUGGCUAAGGCGGCUCUCUAGUACGGUACUGACGCUGAGACGCGAAAGCGUGGGGAGCGAACAGG